GGGCCCGCACAAGCGGUGGAGUAUGUGGUUUAAUUCGAAGCAACGCGCAGAACCUUACCUACCCUUAACAUCCCGGGACAGCUGCAGAGAUGUAGUGUUCUCUUCGGAGACUCGGUGAUAGGUGCUGCAUGGCUGUCGUCAGCUCGUGUCGUAAGAUGUCUGGUUAAGUCCAAUAACGAGCGCAACCCUUAUCUUUAGUUACCAUCAUUAAGUUGGGGACUCUAGAGAGACUGCCGGUGUUAAACCGGAGGAAGGCGGGGAUGACGUCAAGUCCUCAUGGCCCUUACGGGUAGGGCUACACACGUACUACAAUGGCAGAAACAAAGGGUUGCGACCUCGCGAGAGUGAGCUAAA
This 354-nucleotide ribosomal RNA is filed under the name uncultured bacterium. RNAcentral describes it as "bacterial SSU rRNA". It matches the Rfam family "Bacterial small subunit ribosomal RNA", at positions 917 to 1272 of the family's 1533-position model. The record is from RNAcentral.